Molecule: ribosomal RNA, 1384 nt
Filed under: uncultured archaeon
Lineage: Archaea
Description: bacterial SSU rRNA
Rfam family: Archaeal small subunit ribosomal RNA
Source: RNAcentral
AUCCCGUUUAUCCUGCGGGAGGCCGCCGCUAUUGAGAUCCUACUUAGCCAUGCAAGUCAGGGGGUAGCAAUACCACCGGCGAAAGGCUCAGUAACACGUUGAUAAUUUGCCCUUAGGUCCAGGAUACUGUUGCGAAAGUGACAUUAACACUGGAUAAGAGAUUACUACUGGAAUGUGUUUUCUCUGAAAAGCAAUGCCUAAGGAUAAGUCAGCGGCUGAUUAGGUAGUUGGUGAGGUAAAGGCUCACCAAGCCUAUGAUCAGUAGGGGGGAUGAAAGUCCUAGCCCCGAGAAGGGCACUGAGAUACUGGCCCUAGCCCUAAGGGGUGCAGCAGGCGAGAAAACUUUACAAUGCACGAAAGUGUGAUAAGGGGAUCUCAAGUGCUUUACUUCGGUAAAGCUUUUGCCAAGUUAAAAAAGCUUGGAGAAUAAGUGAUGGGUAAGACCGGUGCCAGCCGCCGCGGUAACCCCGGCGUCACAAGUGGGGGCCACGAUUAUUGGGUCUAAAGGGUCCGUAGCCGGUUCUGUAAAUCUUUUGUGAAAUUGUUAGGCUUAACUUAACAGCGAGCAAAAGGAACUGCAGAACUUGGAACCGGGAGGAGGCAGAGGUAUUCCAAGGGGAGCGGUAAAAUGUAAUAAUCCUUGGAGGACCACCUGUGGCGAAGGCGUCUGCCUAGAACGGAUUCGACGGUGAUGGACGAAGGCUAGGGGAGCAAAAAGGAUUAGAUACCCUAGUAGUCCUAGCUGUAAACGCUGCGAGCUAUGUGUUGCAUGUUCUUUGGGGACAUGCAGUGCCUAAGCGAAGGUGGUAAGCUCGCCACCUGGGAAGUACGGCCGCAAGACUGAAACUUAAAGGAAUUGGCGGGGGCUCACUACAAGGGGUGCGGCGUGCGGUUCAAUUGGAUUCUACGCCGGAAAUCUCACCAGGGGCGACGGCAGAAUGAAGGUCAGAUUGAAGAUCUUACCUAACACGCCGAGAGGUGGUGCAUGGCCGUCGUCAGUUCGUGCUGUGAAGUGUCCUGUUAAGUCAGGUAACGAACACGACCCACAUCCAUAUUUACUAAAGCCUUAGCAAUAAGGAGCGAGCACAAUAUGGGGACCGCCUUCGAAAGGAGGAGGAAGGUGUGGGCAACGAUAGACGAGAUUUCAAGAACUGCACUCUGUGUUCUUAUCUCGAUCGAAGUCAGUAUGCCCCGAAUCUCCUGGGCUACACGCGCGCAACAAUGGUGGAGACAAUGGGAUGCAACUCUGAAAAGAGAAGCCAAACCUCUAAACUCCAUCCUAGUCCAGAUUGAGGAUUGUAACUCAUCCUCAUGACGUCGGAAUCCCUAGUAAUCGGAAUUCAUUACGUUCCGGUGAACAUGUCCCUGAGCCUUGCACACACCG